RNAcentral lists this transfer RNA (72 nucleotides) under Camelus bactrianus (Bactrian camel). It matches the Rfam family "tRNA". Rfam says of the family: Transfer RNA (tRNA) molecules are approximately 80 nucleotides in length. Their secondary structure includes four short double-helical elements and three loops (D, anti-codon, and T loops). Further hydrogen bonds mediate the characteristic L-shaped molecular structure. tRNAs have two regions of fundamental functional importance: the anti-codon, which is responsible for specific mRNA codon recognition, and the 3' end, to which the tRNAs corresponding amino acid is attached (by aminoacyl-tRNA synthetases). tRNAs cope with the degeneracy of the genetic code in two manners: having more than one tRNA (with a specific anti-codon) for a particular amino acid; and 'wobble' base-pairing, i.e. permitting non-standard base-pairing at the 3rd anti-codon position. The record is from Rfam by way of RNAcentral. RNAcentral also lists the same sequence under 1 other name. Lineage: Eukaryota; Metazoa; Chordata; Mammalia; Artiodactyla; Camelidae.
AAGGGUAUAGCUCAGUGGUGGAGUGCAUGCUUAGCAUGCACAAGGUCCUGGGUUCAGUCCCCAGCACCUCUA